AUGAUAAUAAAAUUUCAUAAGAUAUGUUUGGCUGCCUGUCCAUGCAUUCCAAACAUUCACCUAAUAGUUACGUUUCCUUUAUCACGCAAAGAAGAGCCUCUCACCGAGUACGAGAAGGUUAGGGCUAGAAAUAUCAUGAGGAACAAUCGAAUGUUCCAGUCCCAUGGCAUCGGUGCAAUAGCGUCGAUGAUUAGGAAAACAAAUGGUGUACAAGAAGGUAGAAUUGAUGAGGUUCAAGAAGGUAGUGGAGUUAUCAAUGAUGACCCAGAGUACAAUCCUAAGGAGGAUGAAGUUAUUGAUGGAGAGGAAGUGGAUGAUGUUGUAGUGAACAAGACUGUUAAGGUGCAAACUCUGUCUUGCUUGGAGGGUUGGGGUUCUUUCAUGCAAUGUUAUUCCUUGUGCUCACAUAUUUCUCUUGUGAUCUAA
RNAcentral lists this ribosomal RNA (426 nucleotides) under Triticum aestivum (bread wheat). RNAcentral's name for it is "partial small subunit ribosomal RNA". Lineage: Eukaryota; Viridiplantae; Streptophyta; Magnoliopsida; Poales; Poaceae. The record is from RNAcentral.